RNAcentral lists this ribosomal RNA (253 nucleotides) under uncultured bacterium. Its description in RNAcentral is "partial 16S ribosomal RNA". It matches the Rfam family "Bacterial small subunit ribosomal RNA", at positions 524 to 776 of the family's 1533-position model. The record is from RNAcentral.
UACGUAGGGUGCAAGCGUUAUCCGGAAUUAUUGGGCGUAAAGAGCUCGUAGGCGGUUUGUCGCGUCUGCUGUGAAAACUGGAGGCUCAACCUCCAGCCUGCAGUGGGUACGGGCAGACUAGAGUGCGGUAGGGGAGAUUGGAAUUCCUGGUGUAGCGGUGGAAUGCGCAGAUAUCAGGAGGAACACCGGUGGCGAAGGCGCACAUCUGGCCCGAUACUGACGCUGAGGCGCGAAAGCUAGGGGAGCAAACGGG